UACGUAGGGGGCAAGCGUUAUCCGGAAUCACUGGGCGUAAAGGGCGUCUAGGCGGCAUGGCAAGUCUCGCGUGAAAGCUCCCGGCUCAACUGGGAGAGCGCGCGGGAAACUGCUAGGCUAGAGACUCGGAGAGGGGUGUGGAAUUCCCGGUGGAGUGGUGAAAUGCGUUGAGAUCGGGAGGAACACCAGUAGCGAAGGCGGCACCCUGGCCGAGUUCUGACGCUGAAGCGCGACAGCGUGGGGAGCAAACGGG
This 253-nucleotide ribosomal RNA is filed under the name uncultured bacterium. RNAcentral's name for it is "partial 16S ribosomal RNA". It matches the Rfam family "Bacterial small subunit ribosomal RNA", at positions 524 to 776 of the family's 1533-position model. The record is from RNAcentral.